This 798-nucleotide ribosomal RNA is filed under the name uncultured bacterium. Its description in RNAcentral is "bacterial SSU rRNA". It matches the Rfam family "Bacterial small subunit ribosomal RNA", at positions 8 to 795 of the family's 1533-position model. The record is from RNAcentral.
AGAGUUUGAUCCUGGCUCAGGAUGAACGCUAGCGAUAGGCCUAACACAUGCAAGUCGAGGGGCAGCACAUGAAGCAGCAAUGCGGAUGGUGGCGACCGGCGCACGGGUGAGUAACGCGUAUGCAACCUGCCUACAACAAGGGAAUAACCCGUUGAAAGACGGACUAAUACCCUAUAAUACAGGGGUCCCGCAUGGGAAUAUUUGUUAAAGAUUUAUCGGUUGUAGAUGGGCAUGCGUUCCAUUAGCUAGUUGGUGAGGUAAGGGCUCACCAAGGCAACGAUGGAUAGGGGAGCUGAGAGGUUUAUCCCCCACACUGGUACUGAGACACGGACCAGACUCCUACGGGAGGCAGCAGUGAGGAAUAUUGGUCAAUGGGCGCAAGCCUGAACCAGCCACGUCGCGUGAAGGAAGACGGCCCUACGGGUUGUAAACUUCUUUUGUAAGGGAAUAAAGUGUAGUACGUGUACUAUUUUGCAUGUACCUUACGAAUAAGGAUCGGCUAACUCCGUGCCAGCAGCCGCGGUAAUACGGAGGAUCCGAGCGUUAUCCGGAUUUAUUGGGUUUAAAGGGUGCGCAGGCGGGAGAUUAAGUCGGCGGUGAAAUUUUGCAGCUCAACUGUAAAAGUGCCUUCGAAACUGGUUUCCUUGAGUGUGGAUGAAGUAGGCGGAAUUUGUGGUGUAGCGGUGAAAUGCAUAGAUAUCACGAGGAACUCCGAUUGCGCAGGCAGCUUACUAAGCCAUAACUGACGCUCAGGCACGAAGGCGUGGGGAUCAAACAGGAUUAGAUACCCUGGUAGUC